CAUCUGGUUCAUCCUGCUUGGACCAUCAACCACGACACGCUGCCCGUCUCGGCGCUGGUCACAACUCCCUGCUGCAUUCAGAGCCUUCGUUAGGUUUCGUCGAAACCCGACAUUGGCAAAGGUUUUACAGCAGUGACCUCCUACACAUCACAAACCACAAGUAUCACCCCAGCUCUCCAAAAAGAACCUGAAGGGGUGGAAGAGAAGCUUUCUGUUGUCUUUCAGUGUUUAUUUGGUUUUAACAUCCGCAUUAAUGUGAUCCCCUCCUGACAAGAGGGGUGGCGAAUCACGUGCACAUGUAGAUGCCGUGUGUGUCAGGCCAGGAAUUACAGCAGAGGAGGCGGCGGGAGCAGCACUCCAACUCACUGCGUAAAGCACGGGUUGCUGCCUGCCUGUUCUGAAGCAGUGUGCAGAGACUCACCUUUUCAGCCAAGGAAGGAACGGAUGUCUCCACCUGAAAAUCUGCAACAUCUCUGGGAGGAUCCGGGAGCCUGUGGCCACAGUAGGGCACGACUGCAGCAGCCAGAGGCUUGCCAAUAAAAAUAGAGCUUGACCUGGUUUUGGAGUGGGUGCAACCUGGAUUUACUUCCCACAAGACUGCACAGGUGUCUGCCGUGACCCACAAAAUGUGUUCUCCCGACUUGAUCCAUCCUAUUACAUGACUGACUGUGCUCAGACGGGGUGGAGAUUGAUAG
Molecule: long non-coding RNA, 695 nt
Organism: Chroicocephalus ridibundus (black-headed gull)
Lineage: Eukaryota; Metazoa; Chordata; Aves; Charadriiformes; Laridae
Exons: 4
Source: RefSeq, a predicted model, not a curated record